Molecule: transfer RNA, 75 nt
Filed under: Bradyrhizobium japonicum
Lineage: Bacteria; Pseudomonadati; Pseudomonadota; Alphaproteobacteria; Hyphomicrobiales; Nitrobacteraceae
Also listed under: 703 other names
Description: tRNA-Gly (GCC) (tRNA-Gly-GCC-1-1)
Rfam family: tRNA
About the family: Transfer RNA (tRNA) molecules are approximately 80 nucleotides in length. Their secondary structure includes four short double-helical elements and three loops (D, anti-codon, and T loops). Further hydrogen bonds mediate the characteristic L-shaped molecular structure. tRNAs have two regions of fundamental functional importance: the anti-codon, which is responsible for specific mRNA codon recognition, and the 3' end, to which the tRNAs corresponding amino acid is attached (by aminoacyl-tRNA synthetases). tRNAs cope with the degeneracy of the genetic code in two manners: having more than one tRNA (with a specific anti-codon) for a particular amino acid; and 'wobble' base-pairing, i.e. permitting non-standard base-pairing at the 3rd anti-codon position.
Source: RNAcentral
GCGGGUGUAGCUCAGUGGUAGAGCACGACCUUGCCAAGGUCGGGGUCGAGGGUUCGAGCCCCUUCGCCCGCUCCA